UUUGUAUUAAAUUUACUUAUUAUUAUGGUGUAAUGAAUUUAAAUUGUUAAAAUCAUUUUAUUUGUUUUUGUAUAUUGGUAAUAAUUUAAUUUUUUUGGUGAUAUGAUAUUUGUACUGUGAAGGUUGGUUGUAAUAUAUGUUGUUAUUAAUUAAGUUUAUUUUAUUUAUUGUACCUUGUGUAUCAGGGUUAAUUAAUUACUUUUUAUGAAUUUUGAUGAUCUCGAUUUUAUAAGAGCUAAUUUGUUAUUUUAGUUAUUGUUUUAUAAAUAUUAAUAAUAAUUAAUUAGUGGUGAAAUGUCAGGCGUUUAUGAGGGUAUCUAGUUUUUUGGGAAAUAAAUUUAAUUUACAUUUUUUCUUUAAAUUUUUUUCUUUAUAAUUUAAUUUAAGUUUAAAUGAUUAAUAAGGGGGAUAAGCUCUUUUUUAAAUUUUUAUGGAAUAUAAUUUUAAUAAGUUAUGUGGAUUUAAUAAUGGUUGUCAUUAUGAGUUUGUUAAAAUUUUACUUGUUUUUUAUUUGAUUUUAGUUUUCCUUGAUUUGUACUAAAAAUUUUUAAUAAAUCUUUUCUUAAUUUUAAUUAUGAUUAAAUUAGUAUAUAUAUAUAUUAUUUUAGUAUUGAAUAUUUAUUAUUGUGAAUGGAUUUGAGGAAUUAGGCAAGGGGUUUAUUCGCCUGUUUAACAAAAACAUCUCUUCUUGAAUUGUAAUAUGAGGUAUAACCUGCUCAAUGAAUAUUUAAAUGGCCGCGGUAUAUUGACCGUGCAAAGGUAGCAUAAUCAUUAGUCUUUUAAUUGUGGGCUGGAAUGAAUGGUUGGACGAGAUAACAUCUUUCUUAAGUUUAAAAAUUUGAAUUUAAUUAUUGUGUUAAAAAGCUCAAAUUUAUUUUUGGGACGAGAAGACCCUAUAGAGUUUUAUAUUUAAUUUAUUUUUUGGUAUUUGGUAUUUUAUAAAUUAGAUUAAGUAUUUUGUUGGGGUGAUGUGAAGAUAUAAUUAACUCUUUUUAUUGUUGCUUAUGAAUUAAUAUUUUUUUGAUCCAUUUUUAGUGAUUAAAAGACUAAAUUACCUUAGGGAUAACAGCGUAAUCUUUUUUGAGAGUUCUUAUCGACAAAUAAGGGUUGCGACCUCGAUGUUGGAUUAAGAUUAAUCUUGGGUGCAAAAGCUUGAGGUUUAGGUCUGUUCGACCUUUAAAUUCUUACAUGAUCUGAGUUCAAACCGGCGUGAGCCAGGUUGGUUUCUAUCUAUUAAUAAAUUUGAUAUUUUAGUACGAAAGGACCAAAUAUUGGAAAUAAUUUUUUGUUGUUGAAUAAUAUUAAUAUUUA
RNAcentral lists this ribosomal RNA (1311 nucleotides) under Panesthia guizhouensis. RNAcentral describes it as "16S ribosomal RNA". The stretch from base 879 to 1233 matches the Rfam family "Archaeal large subunit ribosomal RNA", at positions 2153 to 2713 of the family's 2987-position model. The record is from RNAcentral. Lineage: Eukaryota; Metazoa; Arthropoda; Insecta; Blattodea; Blaberidae.